RNAcentral lists this long non-coding RNA (712 nucleotides) under Cercocebus atys (sooty mangabey). RNAcentral's name for it is "lncRNA (ENSCATG00000045584.1)". The record is from RNAcentral. Lineage: Eukaryota; Metazoa; Chordata; Mammalia; Primates; Cercopithecidae.
AUAAAUAGAAAAAAGUCCAGAAAUAUAGGCCAUUUAUUAAAAAUUUCUCCCUUGUUGGUUUCUUAGGAUUCUCUUCUACAGUGCCAUCACUCCAGUCAUGUAAACCAUAUGUCACUUCAUAAAGAAAAAGAGUGGCUGAAGAUACCCAAACUGUUUGUUUUGCUUCAUCCAUCCAUCUAUCCAUCCAUCCAUCUUGCCUACUAUCUGUCUUAAAUGCAAGAUACCUGUGGACCAGAGAGGUAUUCUGAGUAUGGACCACUUGUCUGGAUGGUUCAGAAAGCAGCUUUUUAUUAAAUCUGGAACUAUUUUGUAGUAAGAUUCAAGCUAGGUAAGUAUAUAACAAGUCCAGAGUUUUAUUUCAUAAGGAAUAAGGUUAAGGACAUUAGUAAUAGAAGAACACAAAUUUAAUUUAAAACUAAAGAUGCUCCUUGGGAGAAAUUUAUCCCCAUGGUGUUGAACUGUAUUUGAUUUCAGACAAUGCACAAAAAAAUCAGCCAUGGCCUGAGUGAAAGCACAACACCGUAUUUCUUCUGCCAUCUCCUCCAACUCAGAGCUCAUUCCUGGAGGGGGAAGAGGAGAAGUAUGGACAUCUGGAAAGCAUUUAAGACGUCCUUGGCUCUUUGGACUGACAAAAUGGAGGAAAAAUGAGGUAGGCCCUGGUGUAUCUAAAAGCAAUAUUUAUAUUGGUGUUUGCUUGUUUGUUUUCUUAUGC